Molecule: ribosomal RNA, 468 nt
Filed under: uncultured bacterium
Lineage: Bacteria
Description: partial 16S ribosomal RNA
Rfam family: Bacterial small subunit ribosomal RNA
Source: RNAcentral
GACGAACGCUGGCGGCGUGCUUAACACAUGCAAGUCGAACGGAAAGGCCCUGCUUUUGUGGGGUGCUCGAGUGGCGAACGGGUGAGUAACACGUGAGUAACCUGCCCUUGACUUUGGGAUAACUUCAGGAAACUGGGGCUAAUACCGGAUAGGAGCUCCUGCUGCAUGGUGGGGGUUGGAAAGUUUCGGCGGUUGGGGAUGGACUCGCGGCUUAUCAGCUUGUUGGUGGGGUAGUGGCUUACCCAGGCUUUGACGGGUAGCCGGCCUGAGAGGGUGACCGGCCACAUUGGGACUGAGGUACGGCCCAGACUCCUACGGGAGGCAGCAGUGGGAAAUAUUGCACAAUGGGCGGAAGCCUGAUGCAGCAGCGCCGCGUGCGGGAUGACGGCCUUCGGGUUGUAAACCGCUUUCGCCUGUGACGAAGCGUGAGUGACGGUAAUGGGUAAAGAAGCACCGGCUAACUACGUG